Molecule: long non-coding RNA, 1602 nt
Organism: Gasterosteus aculeatus (three-spined stickleback)
Lineage: Eukaryota; Metazoa; Chordata; Actinopteri; Perciformes; Gasterosteidae
Source: Ensembl
AUGAGUGAUUCAGAGCAGCCAGAAGAGGCUGAAAAUGUGUCUCAGCCUCAGUGGCCUGAGAACGGAGAGGAAUGGAGUGAUGGAGAGGACGGCACGACCAUGGACUGUGGGCUUCUGCAGGCCAUGGCCGAGGAAGAUGAUGAGAUUGACGUCUACAAUGAGGAGACGUUUGGAAUGGAACUUGACGCACGAGGGACCACCGAGGACCCCGGCAGCGAACUCCUACAGUUUGAAGAACAACCUCCUUCACCGCCACCGCCUCCAUGCACACCUCCACCAGCCCCCAAACCAUUACACCGCCACUGCUCCCCCUCCCCCCUCAGACAGAGCCCACAGUAUGUGCCCUGGGCUCCCCCGGGGCAGCGUGGCAGAGGAUGGGGGCAGAGAGGGGGGCCCGGCAGGGGCCAUUUGUUUGAAGACCCAGCUGUGAUGAGGAUAGUGGAGGGCCGACCGAGUCUGAAGACUCUUGACAGUGCCAUAGUGGACCUUGGGAACACCAUGUACCGGAAGACCUUGGAGGAAGACGUAAGCGUCGCUUGGUCACGCUUUGCUGAUGCUGCUAAAAGUUCCCUCUUGUUGUUUGACGUGUAUUUUCUUCCCUUCAGUACAUGUCGCCCUCUUUCAGAAAGGCCAGAAGAAUCUCAGGAUCAAUACUUCAGGUCAAGAUCCUCCUCUUCUAAAAGCACCUGUUGUAAUCUGCAUGACGUGGGACUAAAACAUGCAGCUCUGUUAUUUUAUUCUGUUCCAUAGGACAGUGCUGUAGUGUGUGUGAUUGAUGGUCACAGAGGCCGAAGUCAACAGCUGACCUCCAACUUCCCGGAUUUCCCAUAUCCUGUCUCUUCCUUCAGGGGCAGGAGAGAGGAACCCAGAGGAUCCUAUGCCAGAAGACAGUUUGGCGAAAGAUUCCCCGCUCAGGUGGAGGAUUAAUUUGAUAGUACUGUGACACUUUUUGUUGUUGUUGUUGUAAGCAUUCCUUCAUUAAAUUUGAGUUUUUUCUUGCAGAUGCAUGCAUCCAUGGCACCGGGAUCCCCAAUCUUCUCACGUCAACCACUAACCCCGCGGCAACAUUACAAUCAGGUUCAUGUCAUUAUUAACUUAAUCUGGCACAAAAAACGGCAACUCUGUUCAUAAAAAGGUGAUAACGUGACUGGUGACGUAGUUCUGUGCGCAGACCGGGGGCUUCAUGUUCCCGGCGAACCGGCCGUGUCCCUCCACUCCCCAGUCGCUGACUCCCAAGAUGAUGCAACUUCGCUUUGGCGCCAACUCGCCGAGGCCGUCUCCCUUUUACAGCCCCUCGUCCAAUCCGAUGCAGCACUUCAGGUGUGGCCUGAGGAGUUUGUUUUGUGGCCUGAAAUAGUCGCCGGUGAAGUUAAAGUGGUUCACUCUCGUUAUCGCGGCUGAAUUUUAAAAUGCGCAAAUCUGGGCGGGCGUUGAAAAACCGUAUUUUUCCAUAAAGACAAAUGCGUGCUUUUUCUCUAGAAAUGUUUGUCUGACCCACAGGAACCCCGGUCCUGUCACCCAGCUCCACCCCCAACAUAAACGACUUCUUAAUCAAAAACAACACAUAUUCCAAAGGUUGGUGGUUCCUCUUAGAUGCAUUUU